This is a non-coding RNA of Pelobates cultripes (western spadefoot toad), 201 nucleotides long. The record is from the annotation of a GenBank genome assembly. Lineage: Eukaryota; Metazoa; Chordata; Amphibia; Anura; Pelobatidae.
ACUAAUGCACUUUAACAUUGGCAAAAGUCUCCCCUUGCCAGAUACAAGAGAGUUCAGUGAUGUAAGGGUUACCAACCCGACAGGUAUCAGGGUAUGCCGGCAGCAGCUGAGACAGCCGUGGAGUGUGCCCACAUGGGGCAGUUCAAGGUCUGUCAGCUGUGGGGCAGGGUGAGAGGCAUUUCAGCCGAUGCCCAGUGUGGG